GGACCGGUGGUGUAGUGGUAACACGUUGUGUCCGGAUGCGAAGAGGAGUGGUUCGACUCCCUCCUGGUUCA
RNAcentral lists this transfer RNA (71 nucleotides) under Gongylonema pulchrum. It matches the Rfam family "tRNA". From Rfam's summary of the family: Transfer RNA (tRNA) molecules are approximately 80 nucleotides in length. Their secondary structure includes four short double-helical elements and three loops (D, anti-codon, and T loops). The record is from Rfam by way of RNAcentral. Lineage: Eukaryota; Metazoa; Nematoda; Chromadorea; Rhabditida; Gongylonematidae.